GCCAGACUCCUACGGGAGGCAGCAGUGGGGAAUAUUGCACAAUGGGGGAAACCCUGAUGCAGCAACGCCGCGUGAGUGAAGAAGGUUUUCGGAUUGUAAAGCUCUGUUAGCAGGGAAGAGGAAGGACGGUACCUGCAGAGGAAGCCACGGCUAACUACGUGCCAGCAGCCGCGGUAAUACGUAGGUGGCGAGCGUUAUCCGGAAUGAUUGGGCGUAAAGGGUGCGUAGGCGGCCUGCUAAGUCUGGAGUGAAAGGUACCGGCUCAACCGGUACAGGCUCUGGAAACUGGCGGGCUAGAGAGCAGGAGAGGGCGGUGGAACUCCAUGUGUAGCGGUAAAAUGCGUAGAUAUAUGGAAGAACACCAGUGGCGAAGGCGGCCGCCUGGCCUGUUACUGCCGCUGAGGCUCGAAAGCGUGGGGAGCAAAUAGGAUUAGAUACCCUUGUAUA
This 447-nucleotide ribosomal RNA is filed under the name uncultured bacterium. Its description in RNAcentral is "bacterial SSU rRNA". It matches the Rfam family "Bacterial small subunit ribosomal RNA", at positions 330 to 794 of the family's 1533-position model. The record is from RNAcentral.